Molecule: transfer RNA, 84 nt
Filed under: Lentinula raphanica
Lineage: Eukaryota; Fungi; Basidiomycota; Agaricomycetes; Agaricales; Omphalotaceae
Description: tRNA-Tyr
Rfam family: tRNA
About the family: Transfer RNA (tRNA) molecules are approximately 80 nucleotides in length. Their secondary structure includes four short double-helical elements and three loops (D, anti-codon, and T loops).
Source: RNAcentral
CCGACCAUAGCUCAGUUGGAAGAGCACAAGACUGUAAUCGGUUCACUCAUCUUGGGGUCGCCUGUUCGAACCAGGCUGGUCGGA